Molecule: unclassified non-coding RNA, 2113 nt
Filed under: Hevea brasiliensis (rubber tree)
Lineage: Eukaryota; Viridiplantae; Streptophyta; Magnoliopsida; Malpighiales; Euphorbiaceae
Source: RNAcentral
GGGGAAAAAGAAAGGAUAAUAAGCGGAUAAGCGUAGUCGAAGAAGCGGUUGAAAGCUUGGACCUCGGAGCUGAGUAGCUCGAGAGAGGAGAGGAGGCGAGGCGAUAAUGGAGAAGUACUUUGGAAAUGCAUACAGAGGAGACCCAGGUGUACCGCACGCGGAUCCAGACCGCUUCGUCAACAUAUGGAUUGGGUCGGCCGCUUUCUCUGUCCUGACCUUUUUCAAUCCCUACAUGUGGCAGCUCUCUAAUCAGUUCAAUUGGCAUGACAAGGCAUUUCUAUUUGAGCAAUACCAUUGGAAGAAAGCAAUGAAGAAGAACCAGCCAUAUAAAUUUAAGUGGAAUGAGAUGGACAAAGAAACGCGUGACUCUUAUUAUUUCAACUGGCCUUACUACUUCCCAUAGCUUUCUAUUUCACAAUCUCUCCUGAUGAAUUUUGGUGAACAAAUGGGAUCUGCGGAAAAUACAAGCUUAUGCCUUCUUUACCAUUUGUUUUUAGUUCUGCUUUGUACUGGUGGUUCAAACGCUUGUAGUUACUAGCUGCAAUGCUUUCUUGUUAAAGCUUCUUAUGGGACCAUAUAAGUAGUCUUUCAAUGCAUAUGCAGUAAUGCUUGAAGUCCUGGAAUAACUAGCAAUGGUUUUUAUGUGGGUUUUUUCCUUAAAAAAAUGUUUUUCUAAUUUGAUUUUACAUAUUUCCAUGUGGAAAUGCAGUCUUCUUAUGAAUCAGAGUAGUCUGGUACAAUGUGCUGUUGAAUAAGAAAAUGAAAAAUAGCACAAAGAGAGUUAUCCAUGCAAAAGGCCAACAUUGGGUUACCACUCUCCAGAUUGACAACUAUUUUACGUGAGAUGAGACGACAAGUAUAAAGCUGAGUUUUCCGGAUUGCCUGGUCAGCGACAGAACUUGCAUUUUAAAAGGAGUUUAAACUAGCAAGUCACAAUGGAGGGAUAUGUUAUUCCUGUCAUGAAUGAUGAAUGGGCGAUCACUUUUGUACACUUCAUUUUUGUACGCUUCAUUUGCUCACUCAUACCAUAAUUCCUGUAAGAAGUCCAAUGAGCAAUUCGUCUUGGCCGAAUUCUUUGUAUUCACCAUUGUUCAUCACUCCGUUUGUGCCCUCAUCGCCAUUAAUACAAGUGUCGAACAAGCGCCUCUAAAUUGCCUGGAGCUGUAUGUCGAUAGUGCAUUAAUAAUCCGGUCCAGGAAGAAGGAAUUCAAUUUCGGUUGUACGGUUCCAGAAAAGGAAAGCAUGGCGUUUCUCCAUCUCCCUUCUUCUCUUGCACUUAGAACCACCUCGCGUCCUGGAUUCACACUGCCCAUUAAAGCCUCGUCUCUUCACUUCCGGCCAAACUCUCCAAUCCAAAAUUUAACCAAAAUCAGCAACUGGGUUGUCAAUGUUCGAUCCAAAUCUUUGAAUUUGCUGCUCUCUGGUGCUCUUGCACUUGGUUUCUCUCUCUCAGGAGUUGAAUUUGCGGAGGCAAAAGUUGGGGUUAACAAGCCGGAAUUGCUUCCUAAAGAGUUUACUACUGUUAUAGAUGUGGCUGGGUUUCUCUCUGAUGGCCAGGAGAAGAGACUUGUGCAGGAGAUUACAAACAUUGAGAAGGAUACUGGAUUCAAAUUAAGAGUUUUAGCUCAAAAUUAUCCUCAAACACCAGGGUUGGCAAUUAGAGAUUUUUGGCAAGUGGAUGAUAGAACCAUUAUCUUUGUUGCAGACCCCACUUUUGGAAAUAUAUUAAACUUCAAUGUUGGGGCUUCUGUUGAUCUAGACGUUCCACGUAGCUUCUGGAGUCGUUUGGCUGGGAAAUAUGGGAACAUGUUUUAUUGGAAAGAGAAGGGGGAGGAUGCAUCUAUUGAAGCUGCUGUGAUGGCAAUAUCCAGUUGCCUAAGAGAACCUGUAGGCCCUAAUAACUGCUCUGAGGUAAAAUAACAAUGGGUCUAACGUGCAAUAUUCCUUUGUUCAUACCAUGUAAUAAUUUUUUCUAUUGUAUAAUGCUCUCAAUGGUUGUAUAUCUGAGAUGGCAUUUUAUGUAAACAACAAGCACAAAGCAGUAAACAACUGUGGAUAUUUGUGGAAGUAAAUAGAAAUUAACACAAUCUAUAGUGUCUUAAGAUUGUUACUG